Molecule: ribosomal RNA, 286 nt
Filed under: uncultured diatom
Lineage: Eukaryota; Bacillariophyta
Description: partial 18S ribosomal RNA
Rfam family: Eukaryotic small subunit ribosomal RNA
Source: RNAcentral
CGUAUAUUAAAGUUGUUGCAGUUAAAAAGCUCGUAAUUGGAUUUGUGGCGUAUGGUGUGUUCCGGGCACUUGUUGUCUGAGUAACCUGCUGUUGCCAUCCUUGGGUGGAACCUGUGUGGCAUUAGGUUGUCGUGCAGGGGAUGCCCAUCAUUUACUGUGAAAAAAUUAGAGUGUUCAAAGCAGGCUUAUGCCGUUGAAUAUAUUAGCAUGGAAUAAUGAGAUAGGACUUUUUUACUAUUUUGUUGGUUUGCGUAAAGAGGUAAUGAUUAAUAGGGACAGUUGGGGG